GCCCGUCGCUCCUACCGAUUGGAUGACUCGGUGAAAUCACCGGAUGCUUACGAGCAGAAAGUGAUUAAAUCACGUUAUCUAGAGGAAGGAGAAGUCGUAACAAGGUAACGGUAGGUGAACCUGCCGUUGGAUCAGUUCUAGUUUUAAUAACUAACAC
RNAcentral lists this ribosomal RNA (157 nucleotides) under Trichomonas vaginalis G3. Its description in RNAcentral is "5.8S ribosomal RNA". The stretch from base 1 to 137 matches the Rfam family "Eukaryotic small subunit ribosomal RNA", at positions 1671 to 1831 of the family's 1831-position model. Lineage: Eukaryota; Parabasalia; Trichomonadida; Trichomonadidae. The record is from RNAcentral.